UGAAAUUGAUUGAUUCAUUUGGAUUCAUAGCCUUAGAUGUAGACUCCCUGAGAAUGGUGAUGGAUGUGUACGAUGAUACUUUACCCUAUUGGAAGGAUUCAUGAGUUAUACUUCCCAGGAGGAACGAGAAUCAGUUAUUCCUACGGUUAAACAUGUAACUCGGAUGGUAUGUUAGUAAGAGCAUGAGCUAAGAUUAUGGAAGA
RNAcentral lists this long non-coding RNA (203 nucleotides) under Lathyrus oleraceus (garden pea). RNAcentral's name for it is "Pisum sativum (pea) long non-coding RNA (PSAT_LNC027775)". The record is from RNAcentral. Lineage: Eukaryota; Viridiplantae; Streptophyta; Magnoliopsida; Fabales; Fabaceae.